RNAcentral lists this ribosomal RNA (451 nucleotides) under uncultured bacterium. RNAcentral describes it as "partial 16S ribosomal RNA". It matches the Rfam family "Bacterial small subunit ribosomal RNA", at positions 28 to 507 of the family's 1533-position model. The record is from RNAcentral.
AGCGAACGCUGGCGGCAUGCCUAACACAUGCAAGUCGCACGGGGGGGCUUCGGCCUCCCAGUGGCGGACGGGUGAGGAACGCGUAGGGACCUGUCGAGGGGUGGGGGAUAACCGCGGGAAACUGCGGCUAAUACCGCAUGACGCCGCGGCGUGACAGCCGGGGCCAAAGGCGAAAGCCGCCCGCCGAGGGGCCUGCGUCCGAUUAGCUGGUUGGCGGGGUAGCGGCCCACCAGGGCGUCGAUCGGUAGCUGGUCUGAGAGGGUGAUCAGCCACACCGGGACUGAGACACGGCCCGGACUCCUACGGGAGGCAGCAGUGGGGAAUAUUGGACAAUGGGCGCAAGCCUGAUCCAGCAAUGCCGCGUGGGUGAAGAAGGUCUUCGGAUUGUAAAGCCCUUUCGGCGGGGACGAUGGUGACGGUACCCGCAGAAGAAGCCCCGGCUAACUUCGUG